Molecule: non-coding RNA, 109 nt
Organism: Mesocricetus auratus (golden hamster)
Lineage: Eukaryota; Metazoa; Chordata; Mammalia; Rodentia; Cricetidae
Source: Rfam
AUGUACCCUCUUCAGUAACACAUGCACUAAUAUUGUCACAAUAUAGAGAAACAUAGCAUAGCCCCUGGGCAAGGAUAACACACAAAUCCAUAAAGCAUUCUAUGCAAAA